UAGGUACACAUUCUAGCUUACCUCUGUAAU
RNAcentral lists this non-coding RNA (30 nucleotides) under Mus musculus (house mouse). The record is from RNAcentral. Lineage: Eukaryota; Metazoa; Chordata; Mammalia; Rodentia; Muridae.